RNAcentral lists this ribosomal RNA (253 nucleotides) under uncultured bacterium. RNAcentral describes it as "partial 16S ribosomal RNA". It matches the Rfam family "Bacterial small subunit ribosomal RNA", at positions 524 to 776 of the family's 1533-position model. The record is from RNAcentral.
UACCGAGAUGGCAAGCGUUGUUCGGAAUUACUGGGCGUAAAGGGCGCGUAGGCGGCCAUCUAAGUCAGACGUGAAAUCCCCCGGCUUAACCUGGGAACUGCGUCUGAUACUGGAAGGCUUGAGUAUGGGAGAGGGAUGUAGAAUUCCAGGUGUAGCGGUGAAAUGCGUAGAUAUCUGGGGGAACACCGGUGGCGAAGGCGGCAUCCUGGACCGGUAUUGACGCUGAGGCGCGAAAGCUAGGGGAGCAAACGGG